RNAcentral lists this unclassified non-coding RNA (1067 nucleotides) under uncultured cyanobacterium. RNAcentral describes it as "partial contains 16S ribosomal RNA, 16S-23S ribosomal RNA intergenic spacer, and 23S ribosomal RNA". The stretch from base 1 to 153 matches the Rfam family "Bacterial small subunit ribosomal RNA", at positions 1382 to 1533 of the family's 1533-position model. Lineage: Bacteria; Bacillati; Cyanobacteriota. The record is from RNAcentral.
UUUACACACCGCCCGUCACACCAUGGAAGUUAGCCACGCCCGAAGUCGUUACUCCAACCCUUGUGGAGGAGGACGCCGAAGGUGGGGCUGAUGACUGGGGUGAAGUCGUAACAAGGUAGCCGUACCGGAAGGUGCGGCUGGAUCACCUCCUAACAGGGAGACAAUUGAGAUAUUGAUGUCUGAGCCAUUCGAUGCUUAGGCCAAUAUCCUGUCAUCUCGAAGGUCGAUCGGUACCUCAAUGAAAUGAAUUCUGGAAGGUCUAACAAUUCUCAACGCAUUUGUUUCACAGCAAAUAUUUGAGAAUCAAUGACCAACCGUAAAGAAUACAUUUUUUUCAGUUUCUCAACUUCUGUCUAGGUCACCCCAUCUGUCUCACCCCAAUUGUUGUUGUCAUUAGUCUUGAUGGCAGACACUGAGGGAGGACGCUCCUGGGCCAUUAGCUCAGGUGGUUAGAGCGCACCCCUGAUAAGGGUGAGGUCCCUGGUUCAAGUCCAGGAUGGCCCAUUCGUGUUUGGGGGUUUAGCUCAGUUGGUAGAGCGCCUGCUUUGCAAGCAGGAUGUCAGCGGUUCGAGUCCGCUAACCUCCAUCAACAGCCCAUGUAGCAACCCUCGAGACCACAGGAGCGGAUCCUGUUGGAUGACCUGGACGGGAAUCCCAAGCAAGGGUGACCCUUUUGACUGAGGACGAGUUCGGCAUCUUUUCAUUCCCGUUGGGUUGAAAGGACGCUGGAUUCACCAGAUCUUUACAUCACAGAUGUAAAGAUCUGGCGAUUCAGCAAGAACCUUGACAACUGCAUAGGUGAGUCUGGAAAGAAAGCAUCUCAUGGAUGUCCAAGAGCGAACGCUCUUGGCAAAUUCUUGAGUUUAGAGCCAAGACUCCAGAAGGAAAAACUCUAGUUUUUUUGCAUCUUUAUGAGCCAUGAACUGAUCAAGGCAUGAAUUAAAUUUCAUGUCAUGAGUGUUGCAUGUGUUUGAGAAGAUGAGUUUAAAAAGACGAAGGGUUUGGAGAUCUGGAACAAAAUGGUCAAGCUACAAAGGGCUCACGGUGGAUACCUAGGCACACAGAGA